UACGUAGGGUGCGAGCGUUAAUCGGAAUUACUGGGCGUAAAGCGUGCGUAGGCGGUUCGCUGUGUCCGAUGUGAAAGCCCCGGGCUUAAUCUGGGAAUGGCAUUGGAAACUGGCGGGCUUGAGUGCGGCAGAGGGGGGUGGAAUUCCGCGUGUAGCAGUGAAAUGCGUAGAGAUGCGGAGGAACACCGAUGGCGAAGGCAGCCCCCUGGGUCGACACUGACGCUCAGGCACGAAAGCGUGGGGAGCAAACAGG
Molecule: ribosomal RNA, 253 nt
Filed under: uncultured bacterium
Lineage: Bacteria
Description: partial 16S ribosomal RNA
Rfam family: Bacterial small subunit ribosomal RNA
Source: RNAcentral